GGAUUGUGGCUCAGCGGUAGAGUGCUUGCCCAGCAUGCGUGAGAUACUGGGUUCAAUCCUCAGCACCA
RNAcentral lists this transfer RNA (68 nucleotides) under Marmota monax (woodchuck). RNAcentral's name for it is "tRNA.Ala". The record is from RNAcentral. Lineage: Eukaryota; Metazoa; Chordata; Mammalia; Rodentia; Sciuridae.